GACGAACGCUGGCGGCGUGCUUAACACAUGCAAGUCGAACGGAAAGGCCCUGCUUUUGUGGGGUGCUCGAGUGGCGAACGGGUGAGUAACACGUGAGUAACCUGCCCUUGACUUUGGGAUAACUUCAGGAAACUGGGGCUAAUACCGGAUAGGAGCUCCUGCUGCAUGGUGGGGGUUGGAAAGUUUCGGCGGUUGGGGAUGGACUCGCGGCUUAUCAGCUUGUUGGUGGGGUAGUGGCUUACCAAGGCUUUGACGGGUAGCCGGCCUGAGAGGGUGACCGGCCACAAUGGGACUGAGAUACGGCCCAGACUCCUACGGGAGGCAGCAGUGGGGAAUAUUGCACAAUGGGCGGAAGCCUGAUGCAGCAACGCCGCGUGCGGGAUGACGGCCUUCGGGUUGUAAACCGCUUUCGCCUGUGACGAAGCGUGAGUGACGGUAAUGGGUAAAGAAGCAACGGCUAACUACGUG
This 468-nucleotide ribosomal RNA is filed under the name uncultured bacterium. Its description in RNAcentral is "partial 16S ribosomal RNA". It matches the Rfam family "Bacterial small subunit ribosomal RNA", at positions 28 to 507 of the family's 1533-position model. The record is from RNAcentral.